This 252-nucleotide ribosomal RNA is filed under the name uncultured bacterium. Its description in RNAcentral is "partial 16S ribosomal RNA". It matches the Rfam family "Bacterial small subunit ribosomal RNA", at positions 524 to 776 of the family's 1533-position model. The record is from RNAcentral.
UACGGAGGAUGCGAGCGUUAUCCGGAUUUAUUGGGUUUAAAGGGUGCGUAGGCGGGCUUUUAAGUCAGCGGCAAAAAUUCGGGGCUCAACCCCGUCCGGCCGUUGAAACUGGGGGUCUUGAGUGGGCGAGAAGAAGGCGGAAUGCGUGGUGUAGCGGUGAAAUGCAUAGAUAUCACGCAGAACCCCGAUUGCGAAGGCAGCCUUCCGGCGCCCUACUGACGCUGAGGCACGAAAGUGCGGGGAUCGAACAGG